CCUACGGGAGGCAGCAGUAGGGAAUAUUGGUCAAUGGGCGAAAGCCUGAACCAGCAACGCCGCGUGCGCGAUGAAGGCCUUCGGGUCGUAAAGCGCUUUUGGGAGGGAUGAAAAUGACAGUACCUCCCGAAUAAGGAUCGGCUAACUACGUGCCAGCAGCCGCGGUAAGACGUAGGAUCCAAGCGUUAUCCGGAAUUACUGGGCGUAAAGGGCGUGUAGGAGGUUGGGCAAGUCGGCCAUGAAAGCUCCCGGCUCAACUGGGAGAGGCUGGUCGAUACUGCCUGGCUAGAGGGCAAGAGAGGGAGGUGGAAUUCCCGGUGUAGUGGUGAAGUGCGUAGAUAUCGGGAGGAACACCAGUGGCGAAGGCGGCCUCCUGGCUUGUACCUGACUCUGAAACGCGAAAGCAUGGGUAGCAAACAGGAUUAGAAACCCUGGUAGUCCAUGCCAUAAACGAUGUCAACUGGGUGUCGGCGAAGUAAAAUUUGUCGGUGCCGAAGCUAACGCGUUAAGUUGACCGCCUGAGGACUACGAUCGCAAGAUUAAAACCCCAAAUGAAUUGACGG
RNAcentral lists this ribosomal RNA (563 nucleotides) under uncultured bacterium. RNAcentral describes it as "bacterial SSU rRNA". It matches the Rfam family "Bacterial small subunit ribosomal RNA", at positions 338 to 916 of the family's 1533-position model. The record is from RNAcentral.